RNAcentral lists this transfer RNA (65 nucleotides) under Dipodomys ordii (Ord's kangaroo rat). It matches the Rfam family "tRNA". Rfam says of the family: Transfer RNA (tRNA) molecules are approximately 80 nucleotides in length. Their secondary structure includes four short double-helical elements and three loops (D, anti-codon, and T loops). The record is from Rfam by way of RNAcentral. Lineage: Eukaryota; Metazoa; Chordata; Mammalia; Rodentia; Heteromyidae.
GGUGGCUCAGUGGUAGAGCAUUUGCCUUGCAUGUCUAAGGCCCUGAGUUCGAUUCCUCAGCACCA